Molecule: non-coding RNA, 254 nt
Organism: Pogona vitticeps (central bearded dragon)
Lineage: Eukaryota; Metazoa; Chordata; Lepidosauria; Squamata; Agamidae
Source: RefSeq, a predicted model, not a curated record
UCCCAGACUUUGGAACUCCCUCCCACAGGAGGCCAGGGCGUUGUAACCUGAAACCAAAAUGUCAGCAUGAAGGAUUCACAGGCCUGUUAAGCACCAACUCCCAUUCUGAAACACAGUUCUGAACUUUUUCAGGCAGUGCUUUAUGUUAUAUUUGUGACUCUCUACAAGGCUGGUUGAACCUUCCCCACCAUCAGCUGCGCUCACUGCCCAUUUUGGGACACAGCGGGAAGCAGAGAGGAAAACUUAAAACUACC